UACGUAGGGUGCAAGCGUUGUCCGGAAUUAUUGGGCGUAAAGAGCUCGUAGGCGGUUUGUCGCGUCGGAUGUGAAAACCCGGGGCUCAACCCCGGGCCUGCAUUCGAUACGGGCAGACUAGAGUUCGGUAGGGGAGUCUGGAAUUCCUGGUGUAGCGGUGAAAUGCGCAGAUAUCAGGAGGAACACCGGUGGCGAAGGCGGGACUCUGGGCCGAUACUGACGCUGAGGAGCGAAAGCGUGGGGAGCAAACAGG
This 253-nucleotide ribosomal RNA is filed under the name uncultured bacterium. RNAcentral describes it as "partial 16S ribosomal RNA". It matches the Rfam family "Bacterial small subunit ribosomal RNA", at positions 524 to 776 of the family's 1533-position model. The record is from RNAcentral.